This is an RNA transcript of Panicum virgatum (switchgrass), 3071 nucleotides long. It is a transcript of the gene named probable splicing factor 3A subunit 1, with no coding region annotated. Lineage: Eukaryota; Viridiplantae; Streptophyta; Magnoliopsida; Poales; Poaceae. The transcript is spliced from 5 exons. The record is from RefSeq and is a predicted model, not a curated record.
AUGGUGAGCCCCAUCCUGACCCUCCCCGCGCCGGAGGGCAACGGAGGCGCGGUCGGUGACGCCGACAAGCAGCAGCAGACGGCGCCUUCCACGCCCCCUCCCGGCGCGAAGGCGGACCCGCCGGCGACGGUGGCCACCCACACGCGCACCAUCGGAAUCAUCCACCCUCCGCCCGACAUCCGCGCCAUCGUCGAGAAGACCGCCGUCUUCGUCGCCAAGAACGGGCCCGAGUUCGAGCGCCGCAUCAUCUCCCUCAACCAGGGCAACGCCAAGUUCAACUUCCUCCAGCCCUCCGACCCCUACCACGCCUACUACCAGCACCGCGUCUCCGAGAUCGCUGCGGCGCCGCCCGGCUCCGACGCCCCCGCGGGCGCCGAGCCCGACGGAGGCCCCCCCGCCGCGCCAGCGGCGGCCCCGGCGGACGGCGCCGCCGCACCUGCUGAUGGCGCUGCGGCGGCGGCAGAUGCGAAGCCCGACCACUCCGCGCCCUUCCGCGUGGCACCGCCUGCCAAGGUGCUGGUGCCGCCCAAGGCGGAGCUGUACACGGUGCGGCUGCCCGAGGGCAUCACAGGGGAGGAGCUGGACAUCAUCAAGCUGACAGCGCAGUUCGUGGCCCGGAACGGGAAGAACUUCCUGACGAGCCUGGCACAGCGUGAGAGCAACAACGUGCAGUUCCAUUUUAUCCGGCCCACGCACAGCAUGUUCCCAUUCUUCACAUCACUAACGGAUGCAUACUCGAGUGUGCUGAGGCCGGAAGAGGGGGUGCCGGCACUGUUAAAGGAGUUGAGGGAGGGGUCGAAGGAUCUGACUACGGUGCUGGAGAGAUGCCUGAAUCGGUUGGAGUGGGAUCGGUCGCAGGAGCAGGCAAGGCAGCAGGCGGAGGAUAAGAUUGAGCAGGAAAGGAUGCAGAUGUCAAUGAUCGACUGGCAUGAUUUUGUUGUUGUUGAGACAAUUGAAUUUGCAGAGGAUGAGUAUGAGGGGCUUCCUGUGCCACCUACUCUGGAAGAGUUGAAACGCCGGAAGAGGAUGCAGAAUUUGGGAGAGGACGAAGCGAUGGAAAUGGCUGAACCAGCUAAGGAGGUUGAGAUGGAAAUGGAUGAAGACGAGAUGCAACUUGUUGAGGAAGGAAUGCGGGCAGCACAGCUUGAGGAGAAUGAAGGAGCAGCGCAGGUUAAGGUGGCUGGUGAUGAUGAGGCUCCUAUGAGGAUUGUCAAAAACUACAAGAGGCCUGAGGAGAGGAUCCCUGCAGAGAGGGACCCAACCAAGUUUGUUGUCUCACCGAUAACUGGGGAGCUGAUUCCCAUCAGCGAGAUGGAGGAACACAUGCGCAUCUCACUCAUUGACCCUAAGUACAAGGAGCAGAAAGAGAGGAUGCUGGCCAAGAUUAAGGAGACCACCCUUGCACCUGAUGAUGAGAUUUCAAGGAACAUUGUUGGUCUUGCUCGCACUCGCCCUGAUAUUUUUGGGACCACUGAGGAAGAGGUUUCUAAUGCUGUUAAGGCAGAAAUUGAAAAGAAAAAGGAUGAGCAGCCGAAGCUGGUUAUUUGGGAUGGUCAUUCUGGUAGCAUUGGUCGGACUGCCACUCAUGCAUUGUCUCAGCCCCAGGGUGGUGAGGAACAGUUUGAUGCUUCAAAUUCUCAUGUUCCUGGUCCAGCUCCGCCUCUCCGGCCUGGCAUGCAAUUGCCCCGACCUCCUCAGCCACUUCCUCUUCUUAAUGUUCCUCGCUUUAUUGCCCCUCCAGCACCGUAUUCUGUCCCACCACCAGGUCCUCAUAUGCCUGGAGCUCAACAUAUGAUGCCUCAUAUGCAUCCACCUCCACAACAGAUAACAGGGCAGCCGCAGAUGAUCAGGAUGCCAGGACAGAUGGUUCAUAUGCCAACCAAUAUUCCUCCACCUCCUGGCCAGACUCAGUUUAUGCCUGGUCCACCGCGCUCAUUUCCAAUGCCCCCACCACCACACAUGCCACCCAUGGUCAAUCCUAUUGGAAUCCCUCAGCCUCCAGCACCGCCUCUGCCUCCACAGCCUCCUGCCGAAGAGCAGCCACCUCCACCUGAUGAACCAGAACCAAAGAGGUUGAGAGCAGAUGAUGCUUCUCUUAUCCCGGCAGAGCAGUUCCUCACUCAGCAUCCGGGUCCUGCUAGCAUCUCAGUAUCUGUACCCAACCUUGAUGAAGGAAAUCUGCGUGGCCAAGUUUUGGAGAUUCGUGUCCAAUCACUGUCAGACACAGUUGGUAGUCUGAAGGAGCAGAUUGCUGGAGAGUUGCAGCUCCCUGCUAAUAAGCAGAAGUUGAGUGUGAGGACUAGUUUCCUCAAAGACAACCUUUCUCUUGCUUACUACAAUGUGGGUCCUGGAGUGGUGAUCAAUCUAACACUGAGGGAGCGUGGUGGGAGAAAGAAAUGAAGCAUUUUCAACCUCAGCUCAGUGUCAGAUUCUUCUUUACAACAUCGAUGGUGGUACUGUUCCUUGAAUGGUUAUUCUGGCAGAAUGCCAUGGCAUCCACUGCAUAACUGCUACUGGAACAUUUGAAGUAGGAAAUGUAUUUGUUUGGGGAUAUGCAUUCUCUGGUCGCUUUCACUAUUGCACUAAGCUUUGAUAUGCUCCUGCAGAAAUGGUUCCUUUAUGCUAACCAAAUUUUGUUAUAAUGCUAUGUUUUCACAAGUCACCACUCACCAGCAUACCUGUUUUCUGAAAAUGCAUGUCGAGAUAUAUUAGUCAUUCAACCAUCUGCACACACCUUGGCAAGGGGGAAAAUGGCCUGAAUACUUGCUGGGCACUAGUGUAUUUUGUAUGAUUGGACAGCAAACUAUCCACAAUAUUACUUGUUAGGGUGUUGGUUCAAGCUUGAAAACUUAAUUCGUAGGUCUUGUCUGGAUACAUCAAAAUCCACCCCCAUUCAUGUGUAUUGGGGUGGAUUGGCUUGAAAAUUAGUUCAUUUUCCACCCCAAUCCACAUGUAUUGAAGUGCAUUUGUGGUACCCAAACAAAGCGGGGUUGAUUGUCGCCAUAUCUUCUUGGAACUUCACAACCAGUUUCUGUAAAUGUUUUGUACCGGCUUCAGUUUGAAUUUCUUAA